Molecule: non-coding RNA, 9197 nt
Organism: Rattus norvegicus (Norway rat)
Lineage: Eukaryota; Metazoa; Chordata; Mammalia; Rodentia; Muridae
Source: RefSeq, a predicted model, not a curated record
CCUCUAUUGCAGGACUCCUCUGUCACAGGACAUCCACUGUUUAAGCACCACCACUACCUCAGGAAGUCCACUGUCUGUGUGUCAACUCCACUGUUACAGGACCACAAGUGUCUCAGCACUUCAACUAUCACAGCACUUCUACUGUUCAGGAGCUCAAGAGUCUCAGCAUCUCAAGUGUCACAGGACCUCCUUUGUCCAAGAACUGGACUGUCCAAGCAAUACUGCUAUUGUGGGACCUCCACUGUCACAGGAUUUCCACUGUAGGAGCACUACAACUGUCUCAGGACACCCACUGUCCUAUCACCUCCACUAUCCCAGGAAUUCCACUGUCAUAGCACCACCCGUAGCAACUAAAGUGUUUCAGGACAUCAUCUGAAGCAAGAUCUCCCAUGAUUCUGCAACUUCACUGCCCCAGGAUCUCUACAGUGACAGGAAUACCCCUGUAUCAGCAUUUCCAAUUUUGCAGGACCUCCACUGUAGCAGAACCUUCAAUUGUGCAGCAGCUCCCCUGUAUGUAGAUUGACCUCCACGAUCUCAGUGCCUCCACUUUCAAAGGACCUUCACUGUCACAGAACCGGCGCUAUUUCAGUGCCUCCACUGUCACAGGACCUACCUCUUCACAGGAUCUGCACUGUUGCAGCAACUGUAAUUUCAAUUUUUCAAAGUCAUUGCUGGUUAUUAGAUUUCAGGCUGAAUGAAAUGAGAUGUUACUUUUGAAAGCUUAAGAAUUUGUUCUAUACCUCUUGUGAUAAAUGCCGUGUGUGCUAGGACCAGUAAAGUAUGGAAGACUUCUUCAGCUCAUACCACUCUCCACCUCACUUUGUGGAAGCUGGUGUUUUUAGAGUGUGAUAAACUUCAGGUGAAUGGAUGCAUUCAGCUGCACCACGCUCUAGAGUGGGCUACACAGCAGUCAUAUUGAGUCCUUGCUGGGAAGAGAAGAAAUCCAGAAGAGGGAGAAGGCUUGGGUUGGGGGAAGAAUCAUAAAAUACUUAGAGGAUAUUAGAAGGUAAGAAUUAUGGGGAACUGGAAAACAGAGCCAAAGGAAGAAUGAGCACAGAGCAAACUGGGAAGGACAAAGUACAAAGGCACUUGGGUUUUGCCAUCUGCGUGUUCUCUGGACAAUCUCCCUGGGCCACAUUUCUGGGAGAAAACUCUUCCCCCACCCCCUUGUAAGGUUUCAUUCUUGAAGGAAAGCAGCAACACAACUUCAUCAGUGAAUUUCCCCAUUGGAAUUGGUUCAUCCUUUAAUGCCUCUGGGAAAUCCCGAGCUGGGGAAUGUCCUGCUCUCUGCUGAGAGACAGCAGGAAAGUAGGUCGUCCUCUGUUUUCUCGUUGCUACAGCUCUUCUAAGUAUGGCUGAUUGUUGAGUGAAGACACAGGAUACUUCUGGUGUGUAUGUAUGCUUUGUUCACUGUGGGUGUUGUUGGGAGUGUCCUGAAAAGAAGGGCAUGCCCAAUGGCACUUCUGCUUCCUCUUUGACUAGCCUUAUGAUCAUAGGGAGACACUAGGCCAUUGGAAGAUGAGGAGAGCAAUGUGUCUAAGUUGUGUUCACUUCUAUUCCUAUUUAGUCCUAGAGGGAAAUCAGCAAGGGUGUGAGGAAUGCUGCUGUGCACUGACUGUGUGGUGUGAGGAAUGCUGCUGUGCACUGACUGUGUGGUGUGAGGAAUGCUGCUGUGCACUGACUGUGUGCUGUGAGGAAUGCUGCUGUGCACUGACUGUGUGCUGUGAGGAAUGCUGCUGUGCAUUGAUGCUGCCUUUUUUCUUUUCUCCCUACACCUGCAUCCUUCUGGUGGCUCAGGUUGGACAACUAGGUGCCCAUGACCAACUCCUCAUUGUGGAUGGAUUUAGUCUGGUUGGACUUUCUCAGGAAAGGUAUGACUAAUUGGUUACUUUAAAGCUGAUUGGUUAGUCUUACUGUAUUGAAGUGAUAUUUUGCUUUUUAUUUUGAAAUUUGAAUUCAAAAAGAAGUGCUGUAAAAGCUCUUUGUGUUUACUCAUCUUCCCCUAUAAUCCUAGUUGUUAGAGCACAUGAAUCUCAUUUGUGUUCACUCAUAAGAAUGUAUAUUCUUUAGAGUAUUUCCUUAAAUAAUUAUAUAAAUAUGUACACUUAUACUUAGAGCUUGUAAAAUGUUUAAAUAUCUUAAUGUUAAUGUUAUAGAAUAGAAUAUAUUUACCUUUUUUAUAAUUAAUUGUCAUAAGUGAUGUGGACAGGACAUAAUCUUCUGAAAGCCUGGUUUAUUUCCCACACAGCAACCGGGUUGAGGAACCUAAGCACAAGUAUUCUGAACAUAGACUCUACUGUGACAGUGACCGCUGUUUCUUUUCUACCUAAGGCAGCUGAACUCAUGACUAGUACCAGUUCCACGGUUACCCUGGAAGUUGCAAAUCAAGACAUCCUCUCUCACUGCCUGUCCACCUUUCUUACCAACCCAUUGUCCUCCAUGGUGCAGAGAGCCUCUUACCACUUCCAAGGAAGAACUUCAGGAAGAGUUUUACCUACUUGAGCUCCAUUGAGUAGAGGCUGGCAAGGGUCUCUAGUGUGACAGUAAUAUGUGGAUCCAGAGCUCCUCAUUGGAAUCUAUGACAUCCAGACAGGAGCACCUGAACCCUUCCUCCAAGUCAGUUACCCCUGCUUCCACUCUGACUAAGAGUGGUCCUGGCCAUUGGGAAACCCCAGCAGAGGUGCUGGCCACCACUGUUACUGUCUCCCAGCCCAUAUGAACAGACCUCCCUCCACCACCUCCUCUACCACAGGUCCACUACACCAGAUUUUGGCGGCAUUUUAGUGGAUUUGCCCCUCCCACCACCUUCUGCAAACAAGGCAGGAUCCCAGUCUGUUCAGGUGGCUGCUGGCUAGCAAAAGAGAGUGAGGAGCAGCAGUGGUGGUCUGAGAUAUAGAAGGCCUGCCUGGACAAGGAAGCAGAGAGGAAGCACAGGAAGCAGGAGAGGAAUGGGUGACAGAUGCACUCUCAUUCCCUGAACCUGCUUCCUUCUCUUCUUUGACCACACCGACCAAACCAGGAAAACCUUCCACACUGCAGAGGCCCCAAGAAACAGUCAUUCUGGUGUUGUAGUCCCCGCAGCAGCCCCCCACUAUUGAGCACAGGGAUCUGCAGUUCAUAACUAUCAGUAAAGAGGAGUUGUCCUCUGGGGAGUCUGUCUCCAGACCCAUGGAAACAAGAUGCCAGGGAGAAGCUGGAGAAGCAACAGCAAAUGCACCUUGUGGAUAUGCUAAGGAGAUCCAUGAGCUGCAAAACAAGGGGGACGGUAGUGCAGAGGAGAGUGACUGCCUGUGGAAGAAUAUGCUGGAGUGGCAGUUCCAGAAGAGACUUCAGACCAUAUUUCUUGUGUUUCUCCCAGGUUCAUUUCAGAAUACUGUUCAAGAAGCUCAACAUUUGACGUUUACAUAGUAGAAAUUUAUAACAACAAUGUUUUUGCCCUUCUGGCCUUAGACAGUUCUACAGUGGUGUCUAUGGUUAAGUGCCAGGCAGUGAGAACCCAGGAGUGAUAUUCAGAGGUACAAAGGAUGACCUGCAGGUGUGUGCAGCCGUGCCAGUCUUGUUCACCAUGGGAUGGAAGAGGUCCCUGACCUGUGAGCCUAGAGGUGACCAGGUGCUCCAUUCUGAGACUGAGAGAGGCAGGAUGCCCACUCAAGGGUCCAUAGCAGGGAAGGUUUUCAAGCUAUGUACAGUGUUGGAAAAGCCUACACAGGGCAUACAGUUAGCAGUGAUGUGUUUGCAGGGAGUCCAAGGAACCAGCUUUGUACUGAUGCAGGUGGGCAAGCAUUUAUCAUCCACCUUCCACUCUGACAGCAAUAAGAGUAUUGCUUAAGUUUUAUUUCAUAGAUUUGAUCCCUGACCAAAAUACCAAAAACUGCACCCUUAACGAUGUAGCAAAUACAAUAGUGGAUACUAGGCCAAGAACCUUUGACUCUUCUAAUACCAUUGUGUAUUUCAGAGCAAGGAAGGAGAGGUAUCAAUGGACAGCAGUCUGCUUUCCCCACGAGUGCUCUACCACUGAGUUAGUAGCCUGAGCCCUCCUCACCUUUAGAAAAAGGGUGUGACUAAGUUGUCCAUGGUGACCUUGAACUCAUGCUGUAGACCAGGCUAGCCUUGAACUUCUGAUCCCCCUUCCUACUGAGUGUCUUGAUUGUCUGGUAUUACAGGCCCAUUUCUCUACAGUUGACCAGCUUGCUUGCUUCCUCCUUUCUUUUCUUCUCCUUUUUAUCUCUCUCUUUCUUUCAUUCUUCCUUCCUUCCUUUCUCUCUCUCUCUUUCUCUCUCUCUCUCUCUCUCUCUCUCUCUCUCUCUGCCUUUCUUGAUUUUUCGUUCUUUCUUUCGUUCGUUCUUUCAUACUUUCCUUCCUUUCUUUCAUUCUUUUCUUUCUUUCAUUCUUUAACUUUCUUUUCUUCCUUCUUUCAUUCCUUUGUUCCUUUCUUUUAAGAUUCAAUUAUUUGAGUGGUCUAUCUGCAUGUACAUCUGUGUGUCCAAAGAGGGCAUCAGAUCUGAUUAUAGUUAGUUAGUAUCCAUAAUAUGGUGACUGGAAUCAAACUCAGGACCUUUGAAAGUGCAGCCAGGCUCUGAACCACUGAGCCUGCUCUCCAGCCCCAGCCCAUUUUCUUAAACUUAGCACACUUGGUUCACAUGAGAAUUGUCUGUCCAUGAGCAAGAUAAGGUUAAUCAUAGCAAAGAGUGCUUAUCCCUUGCCAGAUCAACCUGGGGUCUCCUGUGACUUAUGCUGUCCUUUUCCAGGCCUGUCACCAGUGCCUUGGCGUUUGUGGGACUCAUCCACAGAGGCAUGCAACUCAGAGAACUGCACCCCAACUUGGUGCACAGGAACUCUUUCAGGUGUCACUUGAUUGUCACAGGUUUCUACUCGGUCAGCAAGGAAGGGAAGCCUAGCACUGUGCCAGGUCAGUUCCCAGUACAGAAGUUCAUUCAUGGCAAACCCAAGUGAUCAUUGCAGUGAGCGUUGGCGGUCUAGAGCCCACAUCAAGGAGGCCUUCCACACUUUGGAAGUGGAGAGGGAGGGAAGAAAACAAAAGUAUGGUACACUCACACUUUGGAAGGACACACAUCCAUCCUAAGUGAAACACAAGUUCUGUUUUCCAGUUGACAAGUAUAUAACAUGGCUCUUAAGGCUACACCCACAUUGUAAAAGCCGGUGAUGUCAAUCACAGCAGGUAAGAUGUCAGCCACCUGAGUCAUGCAGAGUUUGACCACAUGAGACUCACCCCAGGACUUAAAUGCAGUGAGUUCAAGGACUCACAUGCUAUGCUGCGUGGGCUCCUCCUUAUGCCACACCUUGACCCCAUUGCACCCUGGGCCUCCACACCAUAAGCCAGAGUGCAGAUCCCUGGGCACAGUAGGACACACCUAGGCUAGUUUCCACUCCCAUGGAUGUUCUUGUGGCCUUGUCAGAGCACUGUGACCACAUCCCACAUCUGAACAGCAAGCUAAUCAACAGGAUGCUCUAGGAGUCCACCCGUUUGUCUUCUUCAGAGACCCCAUAAUAGAGGGGGCAGAAAUCCAGGCUUUAGGGAGCUACCACAGCCAUGAUUGUUCAUUUGUCCCAGCCACUCCACCUUUGGCCAAGUUACAUCUCUGCCAGGCCCUGCCAUGUUGUCUUCAACAUGUUUGUGUGUCAGUGAUACUUGUAUGAACUAUGCUACACGUUGGCCUAGAGGCUGGGCUUUCCUCUUGCAUUUCCAGCAAGACUACAGAGUUCCCGGGGGAGACUCUCAUGGCUCUUCAUGUUCUGGCAGCACAGUCUGCAGAUGUCUCUAAGGUAUUGGACAUCAGACCCCACUGAGGAGUGAGAGGCUUUCAGUGGCUUAUAGACCCAGGGCCUGGGCAUGAUGGCCUUUAUUGUGUGUUUGAUAGCAUGUAUGCUCUGCUCCAAGUGUAGACAGACACUCCCCAUGCCUGUAGUCUGUGCUUGGAGUGUGGGUACACACUCUCCAUGCAAACAGCUGUCUACGCACACACAGAUGCCAUUUUCAUGAUUUACACCUGUUAUCUUUGAUGUUUCUUUUAAAAGACAAUCAUAUAAAGUUACUGUGAUUUUGUGCUGGCUUUCUUUACCCAGCCCACAGAUGAAUAUUGGAAGGAGACUUGAAUCUGCGUGGGCUCCUCCUUAUGCCCAUACCCUGACCCCAUUGCACACUUUUAGGCAGAGGCAUGGCAGAGCGUGGCCUGUAAUUGUCCUGUCCAUUCCCUAUGGAUUGUGACCACAGUCUGCAGUUCUGCACAGCCUGGCAUCCAAGGAAAUUGGUAUAGUUCCCUACAAUGUCUCCACAGGCCCAGAGGAAGGACAUAAAUAGAAUCUUUAUGAGACCCAAGUGGCUUCUCAGGGUCAGCCAAUGCUCUUGGCUCCUUCUUGUCUCUGAAGACACAGGGCACAGGUCCUGACCUGCAUGCACCUGUAGCUGCUGCACACACUAAGGAUGACUUGUGCUGGCCUCUGAUGCUUCUGGGAGUCCUGAAAACCACAAUCCCUGGGCCAAGGGGACUAGUGAGGGACAAGUGAGCACAAGGCCCCUGCCUGCUCCCUGGAGACCAGAAGCCCCAGCAGGGUUCUCACUGCUGUGUUCCCCAAGAUAAUGACAAGCACCUGUUACAGCAGGUCAUGCUCUGGUGGGAAAGGCAGACAGGCACAUCCAAGGCUGUUCUGUGGCCAUGCUGGGCCUGCCUGCUCUUCAGGGGCAUACUCUGCCAUGCCACUCAGCAUAUCCCAAGCUGUGUCUGGAGUGCUUUGGUCUCACAGGAAUGCUGUGUUCAUGGAGACACUGACAAACUAAGGACCAAGACCCUGUCAAGUACCCAUCCACACAUGACUCCUGCCAGGAAUCAGCAGUAUGGGCAACCACGUAAACAUGGAGACAUGGAUUAUUUCUUCCUUGGGAGCACUUGUGAACCACAGGGUCAGGUGACAAGCUCUAGACCAGGAAAGGAUCAGGAGGAGCAGAGUGACCUCACCUGAACUUGAGGAAUAGGGAACCCAGCAAGGGGAGUGACCACCCUUGGUUCACACAAUUUAGGGACAUAUGUGGUGGGAAGAAGCUAAGUUGAGGCAACCUGGACACAUCCCAAGAUAGCAGGUGAUGGGGGGGGGGCGGUGUAGGCUUGCAUGAAAUGAUGUGUUUGUGUGUGUGUGUGUGUGUGUGUGUGUGUGUGUGUGUGUGCCUGUGUAUGUCUGUGAAUGGGCCUAUCCUGACACCAGACCUGACCGAUGCCAGGCACCCACAGUUGGCACAGACCCCACUUUACACUAGGGUUUUUGUUCCCAAAGGUUUUCUAAUGGAAGGUAAUAUGCGUCUUGUGCAGGGCUAGUUCACCAGAUUUUCUACGAAAGAUGAAAUCUGAUCUUUAGAGAUUGGAGUCUGAGCUAGCCUUGUGGACCCUCCUCUUCCCACUGUUCCCAGUCUGUUUCGUGUCACAAUGUCCAGGGAAUAGAACCCUCAGUUCUGCCAGCACCUCUGUGUGAGGCAUUGCAUCAGCUGACAUCCAGAAUGGUUGUCCCAACUCCACAUGUUCUGGCCGAGGUCAAGAUGCACACAAGAAGGCCUAGAUGAGGAGGUACUGCCCCACCCAGCCAGACAGACUUCAUCUACUCUAACAGAUGUUAGGAGGAGGUGCAGAUAUGACUCACAAAAAUGCAUCCACUAUUGGGCUCAACUACCAAGAACCUGUGAGCAGCAGUGACAUUCAAGUCUCCUCUCAUCCAAGUAGAGGGACAUCAAAUACUUCUUUGGACCCUGGGCAGUAAAGAAAUCUUGAGGGCUCCAUGAGUAGAUAACAUACCAUGAACCAUAUCAGAGCCCAUGGACUGUACCUGCUUGAUGACCCUGGACCUCCUUGGCUAAGGUGAGGAGAGGAGACCCCAAACAGCCCUAUACCAGUGACUCAGAAACACUGUCAGACAGGAUGGACCAGCCUCCACAACCUGAGAUGUGCAGUAAGGGUUCUUUUCCAUUCCGUACAAAGAUGUCUGGUUUGCAGUUUCUCAAAUGGAUCUGAGACAUACUGCAAGGGAGGCUUUGUGUUGGGUGCAGUAGUUAAAACCAGGACAUGAGAAGGGUAACUGCAGAGCUGUGAUCUCGGAAAUUCUGCAGUACCCAGUUUGGAUUAUUGGAGCCUAGGCAGGCUUUGCAGUCAUAGACCUCCCUCUACUGCCCAUGUCCCUUCAUGACAACUUCUCUAGCAGAUAAGACCAGAGUCCAGGCUGCUUCAGGGCUAACAAGACACUUGUUUCUCUCAUACACUUACGCUCCUGAGAAUCCUAGUAGCUUACAACCAGAAACAGGAAAAAUAGAGCCCAUCCAAAGCCCUAUGAUUAAGUCAGAGCUAGUCCCAUCUCCUACAAGUGGGCAGGGAAAGGCGACUGAUGUGGUGGGCAGAAGUGGUAAGGGCCAACAACUGACUUGCUUGGAAAAGGCUGGAGACUGGUCAUGAUGGAAUGAUCUCAAGCAACCUUCAAGGCUGGCUGGCACAGAAAGGGCUGCUGGAUAUCUCUUGCCCAGACCACAAUGUCCUCCAGGGUUCUGUCUUCACCAGGCCAGUAUAGGAAGAGGUAGCACCUGAACUUCAUGCCAUUGAGAGAGCUAACCUCUUGAGGAACCAGCUGGUCCACCAGUGUGCAGUCUCAGGUUUCGCUGGGUGAGAGAGUCGUGAGCUGUCUGUAUGAUUGAGUAGACACUUGUUGUCCAGGCUGAGGACAUACUGGGCACCUCUGCGGUUGUUCUCUGCCUCUUCAACCUACAGGGAGAUAGAAAACAUGGAGGUAGUCUGCACCCUGACUUUUGGCACUUUCUAUGCUCCUACAAUCCCAGGACUGAACGUCUACAUAGACCAUCUAAUUCUGGCAGAGUCGAUCUGUCAUGGGCCAGAUAAGCCAUCCUGUUGGUUGCUCUGUCUUAGCUUUCAUGACACACUGCCCUCUAUUUUACCUCAGGCUGUCUCCUCCAAGCAUCCCAGCAUGCAUCAGCUCCAUAUCCUGCCCAACAUACCUUAGGGUCCCUGAUAAUUCCAGAUACUUUAAUGUUCUCCCAGGCUGCACUGUGGGCUCUUGUGUGCCUCAAUUCAUCCUAGAAGUUCUUGGGAGCCUCCAUGCCAUGGCAUAGGAUAUCUUUGUGUCCACACUGAGCCGAGUGAUUCCAUCCAGUAUAGGAUUCUCUCCCUAUUGUUGAAUUUUGGCACUUA